This 492-nucleotide ribosomal RNA is filed under the name uncultured bacterium. RNAcentral describes it as "partial 16S ribosomal RNA". It matches the Rfam family "Bacterial small subunit ribosomal RNA", at positions 29 to 507 of the family's 1533-position model. The record is from RNAcentral.
AGUGAACGCUGGCGGUAGGCCUAACACAUGCAAGUCGAACGGCAGCACAGUAAGAGCUCGCUCUUACGGGUGGCGAGUGGCGGAAGGGUGAGGUAUACAUCGGACUCUACUUUUUCGUGGGGGAUAACGUAGGGAAACUUACGCUAAUAUAGCAUACGACCUACGGGUGAAAGCAGGGGAUCUUCGGACCUUGCGCGAUUGAAUGAGCCGAUGUCGUAGUGGCUAGUUGGGGGGGUAAAGGCCUAGCAAGGCGACGAUCCGUAGCUGGUGGGAGAGGAGGGUCAGCCACAUGGGAACUGGGACACGGACAUUGCUCCUACGGUAGGCAGCAGUGUGGAAUAUUGGGCAAUGGGGGCAAGCCUUAUCCAGCCAUACCGCGUGGGAGAAGGAGGCCUUCGGGUUGUAAAGCCGUUUUGUUGGUAAAGAAAAGCAGCAGGUUAAUACCCCGCUGUUCUGACGGUACCCAAAGAAGAAGCACCGGCUAACUUCGUG